AUUGAACGCUGGCGGCAUGCCUUACACAUGCAAGUCGAACGGCAGCGGACCUUCGGGUGCCGGCGAGUGGCGAACGGGUGAGUAAUAUAUCGGAACGUGCCUUUCAGUGGGGGAUAACGUAGCGAAAGUUACGCUAAUACCGCAUAUUCUCUGAGGAGGAAAGCAGGGGACCUUCGGGCCUGGCGCUGAUAGAGCGGCCGAUAUCAGAUUAGGUAGUUGGUGGGGUAAAGGCCUACCAAGGCGACGAUCUGUAGCGGGUCUGAGAGGAUGAUCCGCCACACUGGGACUGAGACACGGCCCAGACUCCUACGGGAGGCAGCAGUGGGGAAUUUUGGACAAUGGGCGAAAGCCUGAUCCAGCCAUGCCGCGUGAGUGAAGAAGGCCUUCGGGUUGUAAAGCUCUUUCGGCCGGGAAGAAAUCGCACAGGCUAAUACCUUGUGUGGAUGACGGUACCGGAAUAAGAAGCACCGGCUAACUACGUGCCAGCCGCCGCAGUAA
This 498-nucleotide ribosomal RNA is filed under the name uncultured bacterium. Its description in RNAcentral is "partial 16S ribosomal RNA". It matches the Rfam family "Bacterial small subunit ribosomal RNA", at positions 30 to 523 of the family's 1533-position model. The record is from RNAcentral.